GGCAUGAUGGCCAAGUGGUAAGGCGUUGGUCUCAUAAACCGAAGCUCACGGGUUCGAUCCCUGUUCAUGCCU
Molecule: non-coding RNA, 72 nt
Organism: Ictalurus furcatus (blue catfish)
Lineage: Eukaryota; Metazoa; Chordata; Actinopteri; Siluriformes; Ictaluridae
Source: the annotation of a RefSeq genome assembly